UACGGGGGGGGCAAGCGUUGUUCGGAAUUACUGGGCGUAAAGGGCUCGUAGGCGGCCAACUAAGUCGGAUGUGAAAUCCCCAGGCUUAACCUGGGAACUGCAUCCGAUACUGGAUGGCUUGAAUCCGGGAGAGGGAUGCAGAAUUCCAGGUGUAGCGGUGAAAUGCGUAGAUAUCGUAAGGAAGACCAGUGGCGAAGGCGAGUCUCUGGACAGUUACUGACGCUGAGGCACGAAGGCCAGGGGAGCAAACGGG
Molecule: ribosomal RNA, 253 nt
Filed under: uncultured bacterium
Lineage: Bacteria
Description: partial 16S ribosomal RNA
Rfam family: Bacterial small subunit ribosomal RNA
Source: RNAcentral